This is a long non-coding RNA of Humulus lupulus (European hop), 566 nucleotides long. RefSeq lists it as uncharacterized. The transcript is spliced from 3 exons. Lineage: Eukaryota; Viridiplantae; Streptophyta; Magnoliopsida; Rosales; Cannabaceae. The record is from RefSeq and is a predicted model, not a curated record.
AUUGUGAUAUAAUUAGAUAAAUAUGAAUUAAGACAAAUUUUGGAAGAGAAUAGGAAAGUUACCUUUUUCUUUUAUUGAGUCAUUAUGGGAAAAUUAGGAUAAAGAGGGAAUGGGAAAAAUGGAAGAGCAUUAUGCUCUUGGGGCUGCCGAAUUAUAGAGAGAAGAGAGAGAGAGAGAGAGGGCGUGACCUAGAGAGAGAAGGAGAAGAAGAAAGAAAGGAAGAAGAAGAAGAAAAAAAAAGGGUUCAAGCUAGGGGUUUGAGCAAGGAGGUUAUUGGACUCUUGAUUGGAUUUGAUUCUUGAUUUUCUAUCAAGAAGAGGUAAGGGCAAGGAGAAGGUGAACCGACCAUGAGUAUGGAGAGCAUGACGCGACGCGUACAUGUCUGGUCUUCCUGGCUUCCAUGGCCAGGGGUAUUUUUGGAAGUUGUUUGUAAAGAACCCUAUUUUGUCGUUUAGCCGACCUUGAGUAUAUUUUGAGUUGUAAAUAUUUAUAAAAAAUAUUUUGGGAUCCCAAAUGUUAAAUGUUUUAUGAUUUUCAGUAAAUGAAAUUAUUCUCAAAGUUUAUGU